UAAUACAUGCAAGUCGAGCGAAUGGAUUGAGAGCUUGCUCUCAAGAAGUUAGCGGCGGACGGGUGAGUAACACGUGGGUAACCUGCCCAUAAGACUGGGAUAACUCCGGGAAACCGGGGCUAAUACCGGAUAACAUUUUGAACUGCAUGGUUCGAAAUUGAAAGGCGGCUUCGGCUGUCACUUAUGGAUGGACCCGCGUCGCAUUAGCUAGUUGGUGAGGUAACGGCUCACCAAGGCAACGAUGCGUAGCCGACCUGAGAGGGUGAUCGGCCACACUGGGACUGAGACACGGCCCAGACUCCUACGGGAGGCAGCAGUAGGGAAUCUUCCGCAAUGGACGAAAGUCUGACGGAGCAACGCCGCGUGAGUGAUGAAGGCUUUCGGGUCGUAAAACUCUGUUGUUAGGGAAGAACAAGUGCUAGUUGAAUAAGCUGGCACCUUGACGGUACCUAACCAGAAAGCCACGGCUAACUACGUGCCAGCAGCCGCGGUAAUAC
RNAcentral lists this ribosomal RNA (497 nucleotides) under uncultured marine bacterium. RNAcentral's name for it is "bacterial SSU rRNA". It matches the Rfam family "Bacterial small subunit ribosomal RNA", at positions 49 to 526 of the family's 1533-position model. The record is from RNAcentral.